RNAcentral lists this ribosomal RNA (475 nucleotides) under uncultured bacterium. RNAcentral describes it as "bacterial SSU rRNA". It matches the Rfam family "Bacterial small subunit ribosomal RNA", at positions 29 to 479 of the family's 1533-position model. The record is from RNAcentral.
AACGAACGUUAGCGGCGCGCUUAACACAUGCAAGUCGAGCGAGAAAGGGGCAACCCCGGUAAAGCGGCGCACGGGUGAGUAACACGUAGGUAAUCUACCCCUCGGGUGGAGGAUAACUUUCCGAAAGGAAGGCUAAUACUGCAUGAGACCACGACCUCGAAAGGGGAUGGGGUCAAAGCCGGCCUCUGUACACAAGCUGGCGCCUGAGGAUGAGCCUGCGGCCCAUCAGCUAGUUGGUAGGGUAAUGGCCUACCAAGGCGAAGACGGGUAGCUGGUCUGAGAGGAUGAUCAGCCACACUGGAACUGAGACACGGUCCAGACUCCUACGGGAGGCAGCAGUGGGGAAUCUUGCGCAAUGGGCGAAAGCCUGACGCAGCGACGCCGCGUGAGUGAUGAAGGCCUCGGUUGUAAGGACUCUGUGGUAGAGGGACGGAAGUAAAGUGUUAGGCGUAACAUCCAGCAUGAUGACGGUACC